GGGGAUUUAGCUCAGCGGCAUAAGCACCUGCCUUACAAGCAGGCAUUUGUGAGUUCAAUCCCUG
Molecule: transfer RNA, 64 nt
Filed under: Cavia porcellus (domestic guinea pig)
Lineage: Eukaryota; Metazoa; Chordata; Mammalia; Rodentia; Caviidae
Rfam family: tRNA
About the family: Transfer RNA (tRNA) molecules are approximately 80 nucleotides in length. Their secondary structure includes four short double-helical elements and three loops (D, anti-codon, and T loops).
Source: Rfam by way of RNAcentral